AAUAAGAGGUCACGCCUGCCCAGUGACUAUAUGUUCAACGGCCGCGGUAUACUGACCGUGCAAAGGUAGCGCAAUCACUUGUCUUUUAAAUGGGGACCUGUAUGAAUGGCAUCACGAGGGCUUAACUGUCUCCUUUCUCCAGUCAAUGAAAUUGAUCUCCCCGUGCAGAAGCGGGGAUAAAAACAUAAGACGAGAAGACCCUAUGGAGCUUUAGACACAAAAACAGAUUAUGUCAAUCACCUUUGCACAAAAAGACAAAACUGAAUAACUCCUGUUCUUAUGUCUUUGGUUGGGGCGACCUCGGGGAGACAACAAACCCCCAAGCGGAACAGAGGCACUGCCUCCCAAGCCAAGAGCUCCUGCUCUAAGAAAUAGAAAAUCUAACCUUUAAGAUCCGGCAACGCCGAUCAACGAACCGAGUUACCCUAGGGAUAACAGCGCAAUCUCCUUAAAGAGCCCGUAUCGACAAGGGGGUUUACGACCUCGAUGUUGGAUCAGGACAUCCUAAUGGUGCAGCCGUUAUUAAGGGUUCGUUUGUUCAACGAUUAAAGUCCU
This 555-nucleotide ribosomal RNA is filed under the name Cymolutes torquatus. RNAcentral describes it as "partial 16S ribosomal RNA". It matches the Rfam family "Bacterial large subunit ribosomal RNA", at positions 1844 to 2597 of the family's 2925-position model. The record is from RNAcentral. Lineage: Eukaryota; Metazoa; Chordata; Actinopteri; Labriformes; Labridae.